GACGAACGCUGGCGGCGUGCUUAACACGUGCGAGUCGAACGGAAAGGCCCUGCUUUUGUGUGGUGCUCGAGUGGCGAACGGGUGAGUAACACGUGAGUAACCUGCCCUUGACUGUGGGAUAACUUCAGGAAACUGGGGCUAAUACCGGAUAGGAGCUCCUGCUGCAUGGUGGGGGUUGGAAAGUUUGGGCGGUUGGGGAUGGACGCGGGGCUUAUCAGCUUGUUGGUGGGGUAGCGUCUACCAAGGCAUUGAGUGGUUGACCGCCGUAGAGGGUGAACCGGCACAUUGGGACUGAGAUACGGCGCAGACUCGUACGGGAGGCAGCAGUGGAGAAUAUUGCACAAUGGGCGGAAGCGUGAUGCAGAAACGCCGCGUGCGGGAUGACGGCCUUCGGGUUGUAAACCGCUUUCGCCUGUGACGAAGCGUGAGUGACGGUAAUGGGUAAAGAAGCACCGGCUAACUACGUG
This 467-nucleotide ribosomal RNA is filed under the name uncultured bacterium. Its description in RNAcentral is "partial 16S ribosomal RNA". It matches the Rfam family "Bacterial small subunit ribosomal RNA", at positions 28 to 507 of the family's 1533-position model. The record is from RNAcentral.